This is a long non-coding RNA of Lycium barbarum (goji berry), 817 nucleotides long. RefSeq lists it as uncharacterized. The record is from RefSeq and is a predicted model, not a curated record. Lineage: Eukaryota; Viridiplantae; Streptophyta; Magnoliopsida; Solanales; Solanaceae. The transcript is spliced from 3 exons.
AGCAAGCCAAGCACGGGGCUUGCGGCAUGGCUUGCCUCGCGAGAAACCCCAUGAGCAUGUGGAAGAGCAAAAGGGCCAGAUGGGGAGUAGACGCUUAUCGAGGUGAGACACCCCGCGCGUGAAGAGGGCAACAGGUCAAGCAAAGCAGAGGCCAGCGCAAGGCCACAAGAGCAAGUGCACAAAUGCAAGAGCUGACGCGUAGAAUGCCUCGCCACAUCGCAUGCGACGUGAGAGCCAAUACAAGGACGGCCUCGGUGUGGAAUUCUUUUGGGCAAUGCACAUCGAGGGCUCUUGGCCCUCUUUGCAUGCAAGAGCAGCAGAAAGAGCUUUUAUGCCUAUAGAUAUAUAUAGGCACGAGGGGAGAGAAAAAUACAAGGAGAAAUUUGGACAUUUUUGGGAUUCUAGAGGAAGGAAGAGCCCCUCUUUCAUCAAUACUCUCAAGAAUCCGUAAAAAAUCCAAGAAUCUCUAGAAGAUUCAAACUAGGACUCAAAAGCAAAAAAGAUAUUGAUACUCAGGACGACGCAACCUUCACUGGACACCUCCCUCAUCCUACAGUCUUUUGGUGAGCUGCAAUACAUGUUUAGGGCCUUUUUUUUAUUAGAUUAGUAUUCUUUUUUGGUAUAAUUGGAGCCUUGUUACCAACAUUUCUUUUAUCGACAUUAUCGUAAAGGCUAUUGUUGAAGUCUCUGUGAUUUGUACCUUCGCUUUGUAGUUCACGCUCCGUGAUUUGUACUUUGUGGUCCAGGGUUCCUGACGGAUACUUUUCAGUAAAAUGGUCAUAACUUAACGGUUUGAAGCGUAUAAACUAGACCUCAA